CAGCGAUUAGCUUACAUCAAUUGUUUACAUUGUGCUCACACCUAACCUGCGAACGGGCGUAGUUUGGCCUCGUGCAAGUCGAGUACUCGUGUUAUUCUUUGGAAUAUUUUGGCUUCAAAAAUAUCUUGAUUUUAUCUUGAAUUGGCUGUCUUGUUUUCACCAUUCUACUUGUGAUAUUAUUCCAAAGUUAUCUAUCAACAUGGAAACUUGUCCUCAUCUGGUAAGUAGCCAAAUACCACAUAUUUUAUUAUAUACAUUUUAUAUACAGUAUAAAAACAAUCAUUGUGUAAUAUUUUAAACAUCAAAACUCUGGCUGCAGGCAUUAUAUUGCCAAUUAACAAUAUCACAAGAAACUAAUGUUCUCAGGAGAUAUUGAAUUAAAUCCUGGUCCUGUAUUUCUGUAACUCUGUUCAAAACAACAGUCCAACUAAGUUGUCAUCAAAUGUAGUGUUAGAGCAAAGGUAAAGAUGUCAUCAGUUAAAAUUAUACUUACUAUAUACAUUUUCAAGUUUUACACAAUAGGGUUAAUUAAACAAAAUUGUUACAAC
Paramuricea clavata is the source of this 548-nucleotide non-coding RNA. The record is from the annotation of a GenBank genome assembly. NCBI's taxonomy places the organism in Eukaryota, Metazoa, Cnidaria, Anthozoa, Malacalcyonacea, Plexauridae.